GGAGGGCGAAGGGCCCUGGUGGGUCUCCCGGUCUUCAAAACCGGUGCCGCCUCGGGUGAGGCGGGGUCGGUUCGAUUCCGACCGCCCUCCGCCA
RNAcentral lists this transfer RNA (94 nucleotides) under Pseudomonadota bacterium. RNAcentral's name for it is "tRNA-Sec". It matches the Rfam family "Selenocysteine transfer RNA". RNAcentral also lists the same sequence under 1 other name. Lineage: Bacteria; Pseudomonadati; Pseudomonadota. The record is from RNAcentral.